This 440-nucleotide ribosomal RNA is filed under the name uncultured bacterium. RNAcentral describes it as "partial 16S ribosomal RNA". It matches the Rfam family "Bacterial small subunit ribosomal RNA", at positions 338 to 795 of the family's 1533-position model. The record is from RNAcentral.
CCUACGGGAGGCAGCAGUAGGGAAUAUUGCUCAAUGGCGGAAACGCUGAAGCAGCAACGCCGCGUGGAGGAUGGAGGUUUUCGGAUGGUAAACUCCUUUUGUUAGAGAAGAUUAUGACGGUAUCUAACGAAUAAGCACCUGCUAACUCCGUGCCAGCAGCCGCGGUAAUUCGGAGGGUGCAAGCGUUACUCGGAUGCACUGGGUUUAAAGAGCGCGUAGGCGGGAUAGCAAGUCAGAUGUGAAAUCCUAUGGCUUAACCAUAGAACUGCAUUUGAAACUGGUAUUCUAGAGUAUGGGAGGGGUAGGUGGAAUUCUUGGUGUAGGGGUAAAAUCCGUAGAGAUCAAGAGGAAUACUCAUUGCGAAGGCGACCUGCUAGAACAUAACUGACGCUGAUGCGCGAAAGCGUGGGGAGCAAACAGGAUUAGAUACCCUUGUAGUC